AUUUGUCUGGUUAAUUCCGAUAACGAACGAGACCUUAACCUGCUAACUAGUCUAUUACAUUUCAUGUAAUUUGACCUCUUAGAGGGACUAUGUAUAUCAAGUACAUGGAAGUUUGAGGCAAUAACAGGUCUGUGAUGCCCUUAUAUGUCCUGGGCUGCACGCGUGCUACACUGAUGCAUACAACAAGUGCCUAGCUAGACAUAGUAUGGCAAUCUCGAAUAUGCAUCGUGAUGGGGAUAGAUCUUUGCAAUUAUAGAUCUUGAACGAGGAAUUCCUAGUAAGUGCAAGUCAUCAUCUUGCAUUGAUUAUGUCCCUGCCCUUUGUACACACCGCCCGUCGCUCCUACCGAUACCGGGUGAUCCGGUGAACCUUUUGGACCUCGCAAGAGGAAAAAUAAGUAAACCAUAUCACCUAGAGGAAGGAGAAGUCGUAACAAGGUUUCCGUAGGUGAACCUGCRGAAGGAUCA
This 467-nucleotide ribosomal RNA is filed under the name uncultured ciliate. Its description in RNAcentral is "SSU rRNA". It matches the Rfam family "Eukaryotic small subunit ribosomal RNA". Lineage: Eukaryota; Ciliophora. The record is from RNAcentral.